This 988-nucleotide ribosomal RNA is filed under the name uncultured bacterium. RNAcentral's name for it is "bacterial SSU rRNA". It matches the Rfam family "Bacterial small subunit ribosomal RNA", at positions 28 to 1009 of the family's 1533-position model. The record is from RNAcentral.
GAUGAACGCUAGCGGCAGGCCUAACACAUGCAAGUCGAGGGGCAGCAUAGUAAGUAGCAAUACUUGCGGAUGGCGACCGGCGCACGGGUGCGUAACGCGUAUGCAACCUACCCGUAACAGGGGGAUAAUCCGAAGAAAUUUGGUCUAAUAUCCCAUAAUAUGACCGAGGGCAUCCUUGGUGAUUGAAAGAUUCGUUGGUUACGGAUGGGCAUGCGUUGUACUAGCUAGUUGGUAAGGUAACGGCUUACCAAGGCUACGAUACAUAGGGGAACUGAGAGGUUAACCCCCCACACUGGUACUGAGACACGGACCAGACUCCUACGGGAGGCAGCAGUGAGGAAUAUUGGUCAAUGGACGGAAGUCUGAACCAGCCAUGCCGCGUGCAGGAUGACGGCUCUAUGAGUUGUAAACUGCUUUUAUGCUAGGGUAAACUCGGGUACGUGUACCCGACUGAAAGUAUAGCAAGAAUAAGGAUCGGCUAACUCCGUGCCAGCAGCCGCGGUAAUACGGAGGAUCCAAGCGUUAUCCGGAUGUAUUGGGUUUAAAGGGUGCGUAGGCUGCUCGAUAAGUUAGAGGUGAAAAUUCGUCGCUUAACGACGGACGUGCCUCUGAUACUGUCGGGCUAGCGAGAGAGUGCUGUGGGCGGAAUGUGUAGUGUAGCGGUGAAAUGCUUAGAGAUUACACAGAACACCGAUUGCGAAAGCAGCUCACAAACUCUUUUCGGACGCUGAGGCACGAAAGCGUGGGGAGCAAACAGGAUUAGAUACCCUGGUAGUCCACGCUGUAAACGAUGAUUACUCGUUGUCGGCGAUAUAGCGAUCGGUGACUAAGCGAAAGCGAUAAGUAAUCCACCUGGGGAGUACGUUGGCAACAAUGAAACUCAAAGGAAUUGACGGGGGCCCGCACAAGCGGAGGAACAUGUGGUUUAAUUCGAUGAUACGCGAGGAACCUUACCCGGGCUUGAAAGUAGUGACAGUCUCUGAAAGGA